CAGAUGACACAUAGUUCUGUGAGUACAAGCUGGAAUGUUUUAAUCUGGCCAGAUGGCCUGCUUUUAUACAGUUUAGACACAGUCAAACAUGCCCAUAACACUCCCACACAAAACAGGAUAAUCCUUCCCCCUGUGCCUGAGAGGAGACCAGUUACAAGCAAACAUCUAACAUACUCCUCCCCUGUGCCUGAGAGAUAAUUACCUGAGCACAUCAACAUAUAAUUGAAUUAUCU
Non-coding RNA from Pelobates cultripes (western spadefoot toad), 233 nucleotides. Lineage: Eukaryota; Metazoa; Chordata; Amphibia; Anura; Pelobatidae. The record is from the annotation of a GenBank genome assembly.